Molecule: transfer RNA, 72 nt
Filed under: Ictidomys tridecemlineatus (thirteen-lined ground squirrel)
Lineage: Eukaryota; Metazoa; Chordata; Mammalia; Rodentia; Sciuridae
Description: Spermophilus tridecemlineatus (thirteen-lined ground squirrel) tRNA
Rfam family: tRNA
About the family: Transfer RNA (tRNA) molecules are approximately 80 nucleotides in length. Their secondary structure includes four short double-helical elements and three loops (D, anti-codon, and T loops).
Source: Rfam by way of RNAcentral
GGGGGUAUGGUUCAAUGGUAGAGCUCUUGCCUAGCACACAGGAGGUUUUGAGUUCUAUCCCCAGUAUCUCAA